GAUGAACGCUGGCGGCGUGCCUAACACAUGCAAGUCGAGCGAACAGACGAGGAGCUUGCUCCUCUGACGUUAGCCGAGGACGGGUGAGUAACACGUGGAUCACCUACCUAUAAGACUGGGAUAACCUCGGGAAACCGGAGCUAAUACCGGAUAAUAUAUUGAACCGCAUGGUUCGAUAGAGAAAGACGGUUUUGCUGUCACUUAUCGCUGGAUCCGGGCCGGAUUAGCUAGUUGGUAAGGUAAAGGGUUACCAAGGCGACGAUGCGUAGCCGAGCUGAGAGGGGGAUCGGCCACACGGGAACUGAGACACGGUCCAGACUCCUACGGUAGGCAGCAGUAGGGAAUCUGCCGCAAUGGGCGAAAGCCUGACGGAGCAACGCCGCGUGAGUGAUGAAGGUCUUCGGAUCGUAAAGCUCUGUUAUUGGGUAAGAACAAAUGUGGAAGUAACUAUGCACGUCUUGACGGUAACUAAUCAAGAAGCCACGGCUAACUACGUG
RNAcentral lists this ribosomal RNA (497 nucleotides) under uncultured bacterium. Its description in RNAcentral is "partial 16S ribosomal RNA". It matches the Rfam family "Bacterial small subunit ribosomal RNA", at positions 28 to 507 of the family's 1533-position model. The record is from RNAcentral.